RNAcentral lists this ribosomal RNA (253 nucleotides) under uncultured bacterium. RNAcentral describes it as "partial 16S ribosomal RNA". It matches the Rfam family "Bacterial small subunit ribosomal RNA", at positions 524 to 776 of the family's 1533-position model. The record is from RNAcentral.
GACGAACCGUGCGAACGUUAUUCGGAAUCACUGGGCUUAAAGGGCGCGUAGGCGGGCAGGCAAGUCAGGGGUGAAAGCCCACGGCUCAACCGUGGAAGGGCCUUUGAAACUGCCUGUCUGGAGGGAGGUAGGGGCGUGCGGAACUUCCGGUGGAGCGGUGAAAUGCGUAGAUAUCGGAAGGAACACCGGUGGCGAAAGCGGCGCGCUGGACCUCUUCUGACGCUGAGGCGCGAAAGCCAGGGGAGCAAACGGG